RNAcentral lists this unclassified non-coding RNA (418 nucleotides) under soil metagenome. RNAcentral's name for it is "partial contains 5.8S ribosomal RNA, internal transcribed spacer 2, and large subunit ribosomal RNA". The stretch from base 1 to 120 matches the Rfam family "5.8S ribosomal RNA", at positions 35 to 154 of the family's 154-position model. The record is from RNAcentral.
GAUGAAGAACGUAGCGAAAUGCGAUAAGUAAUGUGAAUUGCAGAAUUCAGUGAAUCAUCGAAUCUUUGAACGCAUCUUGCGCUCCUUGGUAUUCCUUGGAGCAUGCCUGUUUGAGUAUCAUGAGCAAAUCUCAAAGUCAAUUCCUUUUGUUGAUUCAAUUGGUUUUGCUUUGGACUUGGAGGCCUUGCAGAUUUCACAGUCUGCUCCUCUUAAAUGCAUUAGCUGGAUCUCAGUAAUUAUGCUUGGUUCCACUCGGCGUGAUAUGUAUCACUCGCUGAGGACACUGUUAAAAAGGUGGCCAGGAAAAUACUGAUUGAACCGCUUCUAACGGUCUAUUAAGUUAGACAAUUACCCUUAAGUUUGAUCUCAAAUCAGGUAGGACUACCCGCUGAACUUAAGCAUAUCAAUAAGCGGAGGA